RNAcentral lists this long non-coding RNA (480 nucleotides) under Cricetulus griseus (Chinese hamster). RNAcentral's name for it is "lncRNA (ENSCGRG00015034993.1)". The record is from RNAcentral. Lineage: Eukaryota; Metazoa; Chordata; Mammalia; Rodentia; Cricetidae.
CUGGCAUUAAACAUCUUCCCUCAACAUGGGGCUCUGUACAAGUCGUACGUUACUUCAAAGGCAAACAGAGCCACGGGGGAAAACAGAUCUGUCGCCGGCAAGGGCUCCCGGGACUCAAGCUGUCUUGUCUUUGUGACGUGCCAGCGGCUGGCAAGAGAUAUCACCUGCUUCAAUAAGGCAGAUAGGAACAUACUGAACCAAGAAGAGGUCCAGAAGGUCCAGGGGCUGAGGCUGGGGCAUUGAGCUUCCGAGGCCAGCCUGGAUUACAUAGCAAGACCCCAAACAAGCAGGGUCUCAUUCAUUAGGACGUGGUCCCGGGCUGGUUUGCAACUCCCAUGCAGUAAUCCUCUUACCGAAGCCUCUCAAAUGAUGGUAUCACAAAUAGGUGCCACCACUCCAGAAAACCACGAAGAAGCUAUGAAGCAAAAACUCCAGUGUUUUUGAAAACUUUUGUUACCAGAUUUAAUAAAUCAAAUUGAG